CACUUAAGGAGGUAGACCUUGGCUAAGGGAAGUAACUCUUAAAAUCAUCAGUACGUUUGUGUCAACCAUUUUUAAAAAUGCAUUCUAAGCUUCUAGGUUACAUAGAUUAUUUCCAAUCUGUUUCAGGUAAAUGCUUAAAAAACAUUGAUGAAACUUGACUUUAACAAACACAUAACUGAUUUAAAGAGUUGUCCCCCUGAACAAAGGUCUACCACCUUAA
This 220-nucleotide long non-coding RNA is filed under the name Mytilus galloprovincialis (Mediterranean mussel). Lineage: Eukaryota; Metazoa; Mollusca; Bivalvia; Mytilida; Mytilidae. The record is from RNAcentral.